Long non-coding RNA from Populus euphratica (Euphrates poplar), 182 nucleotides. RefSeq lists it as uncharacterized. Lineage: Eukaryota; Viridiplantae; Streptophyta; Magnoliopsida; Malpighiales; Salicaceae. The record is from RefSeq and is a predicted model, not a curated record. The transcript has 3 exons.
UUCUUGCACAAAAAAUAAAACAACCCAAAAUAAACUCACGGCAGGCUGGCAUCAUCUUCUUAGUGUUAAGGGUUGUUGAGAAAAAGAAAGGAAAACACAGACCAGUGAGCAUAGAGAAGGCCGUGAAAACGAAGGGAAACAGGAGACAAACACAGGAGAAAAAAAAAAUAGCGACGGGAAUC